AGCAGCCGCGGUAAUUCCAGCUCCAAUAGCGUAUAUUAAAGUUGUUGCAGUUAAAAAGCUCGUAGUUGAAUUUCGGGAUCAAUACGUCGGUCGUGCUUCGGUACGUACUGGUGUCAUUGAUUUCUCCCUUCUGACGAACCAUGAUGUCAUUAACUUGGUGUCAUGGGAAAUCAGGACUGUUACUUUGAAAAAAUUGAGUGUUUAAAGCAGGCUCACGCUUGAAUACAUUAGCAUGGAAUAAUGAAAUAGGACGUUCGAUCCUAUUUUGUUGGUUUCUAGGAUUGACGUAAUGAUUAAUAGGGAUAGUUGGGGGCAUUAGUAUUCAAUUGUCAGAGGUGAAAUUCUUGGAUUUAUUGAAGACUAACUACUGCGAAAGCAUUUGCCAAGGAUGUUUUCAUUAAUCAAGAACGAAGUUA
This 416-nucleotide ribosomal RNA is filed under the name uncultured Glomeromycotina. RNAcentral's name for it is "SSU rRNA". It matches the Rfam family "Eukaryotic small subunit ribosomal RNA", at positions 569 to 992 of the family's 1831-position model. Lineage: Eukaryota; Fungi; Glomeromycota. The record is from RNAcentral.